GAGGGUAUAGCUCAGUGGUAGAGAGCACGCCUAGCAUGCACAGGGUCCUGGGUUCAAUCCCCAGGACCUCCA
RNAcentral lists this transfer RNA (72 nucleotides) under Camelus bactrianus (Bactrian camel). It matches the Rfam family "tRNA". From Rfam's summary of the family: Transfer RNA (tRNA) molecules are approximately 80 nucleotides in length. Their secondary structure includes four short double-helical elements and three loops (D, anti-codon, and T loops). The record is from Rfam by way of RNAcentral. Lineage: Eukaryota; Metazoa; Chordata; Mammalia; Artiodactyla; Camelidae. RNAcentral also lists the same sequence under 2 other names.